RNAcentral lists this long non-coding RNA (335 nucleotides) under Erythranthe guttata (spotted monkey flower). Its description in RNAcentral is "long non-coding RNA (EGUT_LNC003138)". The record is from RNAcentral. Lineage: Eukaryota; Viridiplantae; Streptophyta; Magnoliopsida; Lamiales; Phrymaceae.
AUGGUCUAAGUGUUGCAGCUAGGCGAAAACACAAGGUAAGAACUUCUCUUUGUCUCUCUCUCUUGUUUGUGAAUUCCUUUACUUAUUAAUUUUAUUUUUUUCUUGCAGUACUAGGGUGUAGAACAAGUUAGCAAAACAUCCAAAGAUUUUUAUUCAUGACAUGGAGGUUGGCAUAGAUGUCAUGUGUUAGAUAGAGAGGUUGGCAUCAAUGUCCUUUACAAGGGCUCUUAAUCAAACAAAAUGUACGUUUGUUUUCUUGUUCUUUGAUUUUUUUUUCGGUUGAGGAAGGCUUGACACUAGUGUAGAUGAGUUUAUUACUGUUGAGAAUGAUGUAG